Molecule: transfer RNA, 68 nt
Filed under: Marmota monax (woodchuck)
Lineage: Eukaryota; Metazoa; Chordata; Mammalia; Rodentia; Sciuridae
Description: tRNA.Ala
Source: RNAcentral
GUUGUUGCUCAGUGGUAGAGCACUUGCCUAGCAUGUGUGAGGUACUGGGUUCGAUCCUCAGUACCACA